RNAcentral lists this long non-coding RNA (340 nucleotides) under Brassica napus (rape). RNAcentral describes it as "long non-coding RNA (BNAP_LNC018472)". The record is from RNAcentral. Lineage: Eukaryota; Viridiplantae; Streptophyta; Magnoliopsida; Brassicales; Brassicaceae.
CAACAAGAAAAUAAAUAAAAACCACAAUAAAAAAAUUAACACAUAGUCGAAACAAAGAUUUCAAAAAAAAGUAUUUUUUAAAAAUAUGAUAUAAUAAAUAAAACAGUAAAUAUAAAACACAAAGGAUUUAUAUUUAUUAUACUCAAAAUAAUUGUGAUUUUUUACAAAAAAAAUAAUGUUACAAAAAAAUAAUGUACUGAUCCAAUAAAAAACAAGCCUAAAUUUAGUAUUUAUAUAAAAAUAAAAUAGUAUAUAUUUGCAUAGUCCAAACAAAAAAAUGUAAUAUAAAAUAAUUUGACAAGAAACACAUAAUAAUAUAAAUAAAAAUAGUUGACCUCAC